This 252-nucleotide ribosomal RNA is filed under the name uncultured bacterium. Its description in RNAcentral is "partial 16S ribosomal RNA". It matches the Rfam family "Bacterial small subunit ribosomal RNA", at positions 524 to 776 of the family's 1533-position model. The record is from RNAcentral.
UACGUAGGGUGCAAGCGUUAUCCGGAAUUAUUGGGCGUAAAGAGCUCGUAGGCGGUCUGUCGCGUCUGCUGUGAAAACCCGAGGCUCAACCUCGGGCCUGCAGUGGGUACGGGCAGACUAGAGUGCGGUAGGGGAGAUUGAAUUCCUGGUGUAGCGGUGAAAUGCGCAGAUAUCAGGAGGAACACCGAUGGCGAAGGCAGGUCUCUGGGCAUUAACUGACGCUGAGGAGCGAAAGCAUGGGGAGCGAACAGG